Molecule: long non-coding RNA, 628 nt
Organism: Daphnia magna
Lineage: Eukaryota; Metazoa; Arthropoda; Branchiopoda; Diplostraca; Daphniidae
Exons: 2
Source: RefSeq, a predicted model, not a curated record
CAAUACAAAUCUCACGAAUGACGAAUGUCGAAUAACGCAAAAUAGAGUGGAAUUGGAUAUGGAUACGCAAAGUUUGAAUGUGGUGAAAAAAGAGGGAGAAAUAGCAAAAAUACUUAUAAUAAUAAGCUGUCCUGUUUGUUUUCUAAACACCAGUAAUCAAAACACAACUAUGACUUAAAACACGAGGGAGAUCAGGCACGAUUUGAUAAUUGCCAGGUAGUCGUGUCACAAGAUCAACAAUGCAGAACAAAAUGGGGAAAGGAACCACUGAGUCAGAUGUGAAACUAUAAGCAGUGCAGAAAAAAAAACGAACACUUUUUUUCACAUGGAUGAAAACAACGAGAUGAUCGAGGUGGGAUGAACCGAGAACGAAAACAAGAAAGACAAGGUGAUAGGUAACAAGAUUGAUGGUGAGGCCGUCAACUUGUACACUAGACUCUGAUUCUAUACUUCUUUUGUUUAGAAAUCAAACUGAGAGAAUAGUGUGUGUACGUAUUCUUGAAACGUGUUGUCACCUGUUGUAUGCUAAAGAAUGCUGUGGCGCCACAUGGUGCGCGGGGGAGAGAGCCAGAGAGGACAGCAUUUGAUAUAACUCCAAUUCGGCAAAUAAAAGAUACCAGCAAAGUUA